This 253-nucleotide ribosomal RNA is filed under the name uncultured bacterium. Its description in RNAcentral is "partial 16S ribosomal RNA". It matches the Rfam family "Bacterial small subunit ribosomal RNA", at positions 524 to 776 of the family's 1533-position model. The record is from RNAcentral.
UACGUAGGGUGCAAGCGUUGUCCGGAAUUAUUGGGCGUAAAGAGCUCGUAGGCGGUCUGUCGCGUCGGAUGUGAAAAUCCAGGGCUCAACCCUGGACCUGCAUUCGAUACGGGCAGACUAGAGUUCGGCAGGGGAGACUGGAAUUCCUGGUGUAGCGGUGAAAUGCGCAGAUAUCAGGAGGAACACCGGUGGCGAAGGCGGGUCUCUGGGCCGAUACUGACGCUGAGGAGCGAAAGCGUGGGGAGCAAACAGG